UACGGAGGAUCCGAGCGUUAUCCGGAUUUAUUGGGUUUAAAGGGUGCGCAGGCGGGGGAUUAAGUCGGCGGUGAAAUUUUGCAGCUCAACUGUAAAAGUGCCUUCGAAACUGGUUUCCUUGAGUGUAGAUGAAGUAGGCGGAAUUUGUGGUGUAGCGGUGAAAUGCAUAGAUAUCACGAGGAACUCCGAUUGCGCAGGCAGCUUACUAAACUACUACUGACGCUCAGGCACGAAGGCGUGGGGAUCAAACAGGAUUAGAUACCCGGGUAGUCCCU
This 275-nucleotide ribosomal RNA is filed under the name uncultured prokaryote. Its description in RNAcentral is "partial 16S ribosomal RNA". It matches the Rfam family "Bacterial small subunit ribosomal RNA", at positions 524 to 798 of the family's 1533-position model. The record is from RNAcentral.